This 41399-nucleotide long non-coding RNA is filed under the name Gossypium barbadense (sea-island cotton). RNAcentral describes it as "long non-coding RNA (GBAR_LNC013164)". The record is from RNAcentral. Lineage: Eukaryota; Viridiplantae; Streptophyta; Magnoliopsida; Malvales; Malvaceae.
UAACGAUGAUAUUGUACGAGGUUCUAAGGCUGUACCCACCGGUGGUUGAGCUAGGACGUUCCGUUCCAAAAGAAAUAAAACUGGGGAAUUUGUUGUUACCAGUAGGAACAGAAGUUUCGGUUCCGAUCCUGCAGAUCCACCAUGACAAAGAUCUUUGGGGUAACGACGCACGGGAAUUUAAGCCAGAGCGGUUCGCGGAAGGGGUUUCCAAAGCAACAAAGAGUCAAGUCACGUUUCUGCCAUUCGGAUGGGGUCCUAGGAUCUGUAUUGGCCAAAAUUUUGCUUUGAUGGAAGCCAAAAUGGCGAUGGCUAUGAUUCUCCAACGCUUCUGGUUCGAGCUUUCCCCUUCCUAUGCUCACUCUCCUUACAGCAGGGGAACUCUUCGUCCACAGCAUGGUGCACAGAUAAUUUUACAUAAACUUGGCUGUAAUUGAAUUGUUAUGUAAACAAAUCUUUGUGAAAACAUAGCGUUUUAGUGUAUCGUCAAAGUCCGGUGUCUGUAAUGGUACAAAUUCGAUGCAUGAAUAGUAAAUUUUGAGAUGUUUGGUGAAGUCCGAAAUAAUAUGCAGAAAUUGAGCGUCUAUGGUGGACAUAGUUGAGGGACUAAUGUGGUAAUUAUCAAUCAAAUAAUUCGGUACAAAGACUUGUAUGGAAAUUAAAGCAGGGGGAGUUGAAAAUGACUACUCUGCUUUGGGCAUCAAUUUAGAAAGAUUUAAAGUACAACUGUGUUAUCAGUUAAGGGAUUUGUUUUAAAGAGGGAAUGACAAUUAAACCUCAUGGUUUAUUUGUGCAAGGGAACCGAUGAUGGGAUGAUUAUUCUUAGUGGUAAAAAAAACCAUUAUGGAGGUUAUUACACUUGUUAUCAUCAGCUUAAAAUUCGAAUGGGUUCAAGUCGGAUUAUAUCGAGCUUGUAAGAUGAGUUCACGGACCAAGUUUGCAUAAUAAAAUACCUAAAUGAAAAAAAAUUCUAUUUUAGAGGGACGAGAGCCCCUAUCAACUCCCGGCUCAGCCACUAAACAAUACCUAUAUCAUAUAAAUAAAUACCACCAUCUAAAAGACUCAAAGAAAAACACUCAACAAAGGAUAAAUAGAUAGAUGUUGGAUAAGUGUCCAAAAUAUGAUUUAAGUGAAGAUACAUGUGGUAGGUGUUACGGAAAUGUGAAGACAAGAAUCCCACUAACGUAUGGGAUGUGUGCAGUUGAAUGUAGGGAGCAAAAAGAGGAGUGAAUCAUUUUGGUAACAUUUGGACAAGAAACAUAAUGAACAAAAUGGAAGGAGAGGAAGCUAGUAAAAGAAUUUUUUUGGGUCAUAUAAUUUGUUCAUUUUGGAGUUGAAUUAUAAUUUUUUUAUAUAUUAUUUUAAAAUUUUAAGGAGUUAAAACAAAAUUAUUUUAUUUUCAGAUGGUCAAAGUAGAGGUGAUAAUGGGUUGGGCUAUUCGGCCCGGCCUGACGAUUCACUCGAAAAAUAGGAGGGUUUAGGUAAAAAUAUAGGCUCGAAAUAGGGAUUUGAGCAAAAAAAGAGUCCCGUUUAGAAAAUGGGCCAGGCCUCGGGUAAAAUUUUUUGGGCCCAAGCCUGACCUGAAUUAUAUAUUAAAUAUAUUUUUUAAUUUUUAAUCAAAUAUACUUUUUUUUAUUAAUUUGGUUAUUAUUUUAGUUCUAAUUUGUUUCAAUUUUAAUAUAACCACUUUUUAUUAUAUUUUCAAUUUGUGUAUUGUUUUAAGAAUUGUUUUAGUCUCAUUUUUUUAUUUAUUUUUUGUUUUAAUAAUUGUUUUAAAAAUUUUUAUUUAAUGAAAUAAGCUAAAAAAAUUAAUAUGGGCUUGGCCAGGCCAGGCUCGGGCCUAGUAAUUUUCUUUUGGGCCGGACUUAGAUAAAAUUUUAAGCCCAUAUUUUAAAUUGGGUCCUAACCUAAAAAAUGAACCUAAAAUUUUAUAUGGGCCCGACUUGGCCCUUGAUUACCUUUAGGUCAGAGCUAUCCUCGUUUUGCAUUUCUUUGAGAUUCAGCCUUAUCUACUGUGAUUGCCCACUCAAUUGAGGGUUGAGUAGAAAGAUUUGGUGAAGCAAGCUAAGCUAUCAAUCAAGGUUUGCAUAAUUAUUUAAAUGUAAUUCUAAUAUUAAAAUAAUUUUUUUAUUAAUAUAGUAUCAACAAGCAUUAAAUGUAAUGAUCAUAUACUAUUACAUUUUAAAGAAGAGAAAACAUGUUUGAACUUUAAAAACCACGUUACUAAAAACAUUAUCACAAACCUUGAAAUAUAAAAAAUAAUUUUUUUAAUAUAAUAAAAAAUUAAUUUUAAACCCGAGCUGAAUAAAAUUCUAAUUUUAGUUAAUGAUACGAACAACAAAUCAAUAUUCUAAGCCCGAGCCCUGCUCAUUUUUUUAAUAAACACCAAAAAUUUAUUUUGAAAAUAAAAAAUAAAAAAAAUAUUUUAAAAAUAUUUUAAAAAUAAAAAAAAUUAAAAAUAAAUAUUUAUUAUAUAUUCAGGCCGGGCCGGGCUAGCCUUGGGCUAAAAAAAUGGUGCCCGAGGCCCGGCCCAUUUUCUAAAUAGGCCUCAUUUUUUGUCCAAACCCAUAUUUUGGGCCUAUAUUUUUACCCGAACCUCUCAUAUUUUGGGCGGACCGUCGGGCCGGACCGGGCCGCCCGGCCAUGAACACCUCUAGGGCAAAGUCACUCAAUGAAUGCAUGGAAAGAAAUAUUGCAACUUGGUGACAGCUUUUGUUGGAGUUAUAUGCUUUUUUUUACAUAGUGGAACUUUCGGUGGAUUUUCAAGUUUCAUGAACUUUAUACCCUAGGCUUUACGUGAAAAAAAUCAUUGGACUUAAAAGUCUACCAAAAGUUUCACUAUAAUAAAUAAAUAAAUAAAUAACAUUGCUACAAGACUACAACAUAAAGUUACAAUAAGAGCUUAUAACUCAACAAAGGCUAUCAAUAAAUAAUCUCAAGCAAGCUAAAGAGAAAUGUUGAGAGUACCACUCAAAUAGUGAUUGACUUUAAAAAUUGAAAACCCGAAGUUAUUGUUGACACCAUUUUUUGGAUGAAAAUGUGUCGACUUGGGUUUUGAAAAUGAAAACGAAAACGAGAGUCGCCACCAAUCCUUUUUGAUAAGGUGUGACUGGGUCACCUUGAAAAGUGGUUGUUUUUAAUAAACGAUUUGAUUUUAUUAAAACAACAGUUUUGGUCCACGAAAUUCAGAAAAAUGAGUUCGGGAGUCGGUUACGCACGAGGAAGGAUUAGCACCCUCGAUACGCCCAAAAUUGGUACCUAGUUGAUUACUUAAUGUCUUAAUGUCGAAAAUUGAAAACUUUGGAGAAUUUUAAACAUACGAUCCUUGUAUUAAAACGUUAAAAAUUUUCAAGAAAAUGGGAUAUUUCACGUUAUUCGAUAAAGAGAAUCAUAUCCUAGUAAGUUAGGACACAAUAUCUCGAAUUUCCGAUAUCAUUUAAAACUUGAGUUUGAAAAGAUUCGUGUAAUAAAGUUUAAAAUAAUAUUCAAUUGUUUAAAUCAAAUGAAGAAAUCGCAACCCAAUACGUUAGGGCACAAUUUCUCAAAAUAUUAAACAUUGAAUAUUGCAUUUAUUUCGAAAAAUCCUCAUCUCGAGAAAACGUGUCACAUCCAAUGCAUUAGAAUACAACGUAUUGAAUUCUCGAUAACGAGCUUUUUCUCAUUUUUUAAAAGAGUAAUCUCGAUUAUUUAGGUUCAACGAAGAAAAUCAAAACCCAAUACGUUAGGGCUCGAUUUUCUCAAAGAUUCCAAAUACCGAGUAUUACUUAUAUUUUUAAAAUUUCUUUUUUGAAAUCCGAGUAAAAAUGAAUGCAAAAUAAUAAAUGAUGACAAUGUAAAUAAAAUGAUACAAGCAAAACAAUAAACAAUAAAAAUAAUCAUACGGGCAAGGUAACAAAUAAUUAGGAACUAAAGAAAGAGAACAAACAAUAAUAAACAUGCAAAUAAAUGAACAAAAUUAACAACAUGAUGCAAAUAUGAAAGAUAUAUAAGCACAUAUAUAUACAUAAAAUAAUGAGAAUAUGAAAAAAUGUGUGUAAUUGGACAUGUUUCGGAAUUAUUAUACAUUUAAAAAUCAUGUAAAUGUGUGUACAUACAUAUAUACAUAUAUAAUAAUCAUUAAAUAUAUAAAAAUACAUAUGUGUAGGUAUAUAUGAGUCAUAAAAUGUAAAGAAUAUAUACAAGAUAUAUUUUGAACGUAUAAAGUAUAUGUAAAUGUAUAUAUAUAAUAAAGGUGUAUGAAAGCAUAUUUUAUAUACGUGUAUUUAUAAAAUGUAUAUAAAUGUAUAUUGAUUUACCAAUACAUAUGGAUUUAUAAUUAUAGAAUAUAUAUAAAAUAUUUACAUAUAUACGUUUAUGCAUAUAUAAAAGUAAGUUAUUAUAAAAUAUGAGCAAGCAGAAUACAUAAAUAUAUAUACAUAAAAUAAAAAUGAAGAUGAAAAUAAUAUAAAACUACUUAAUAUAUUAAUAUAAUAGUAACAAAUUAAAAAAACAGAAAAUAAAGCUAAUAAUAAUUAAUAAUAGUAGUAAUAAUUAUAGCAGCAAUGAUAAUGAUAAUAAUAAUAACACUAAAAAAAUUAAUUAAAUAAUAAAAUUGCUAAAAAGGGAUUAAAUCGAAAUAAAAACAUAAAUACUGGGCGAUUUUGAAAUAAAAAACGGGAAGGACCGAAUUGCAACGCGCGUUGAAAAGGAAAGGGCCAAAACUGCAAAUAAACCACAGCCCCAAAACGCAGCGUUGAAAUGGACCAAGUCGAAAUAAAAAUAAAAUUGCAGGGGCUAAAUUAAAAAUAAGAGAAAAUAACGAAAAAUGAUCAAAUUGUAAUACGCUGCAAAAUCAGGGGGACUGCACGCGCAAAUAGCCCAAAAACUGAAAACACGCGGAUCCUCCGGGUCGGGUCGGGUCGGGUCAGGUCGACGUGCGGAUCCCCUUUGCUAAAACGGCGUCGUUUCAUGUUUAAUAUAAAUACUAAAAAAAGCUAAAAAAAACAGUUUCAUCUUUUUUUAAAAAAAACAGAGAGAAAACUCUCUCUUUUUCCCUCAGGUCCGGCCAUGGUCCGGCUUGGGAUUUCCGACGAGUCUCCGCCGCAAAGCCACCGUGUGUGGCGGCCGGAGGUUCAAAAUCAGACCUUUUUGGUCCUUUUUUAAAGUCCAUGGCCUCCAAGCCACAGAUCCGGGGCUGAAUCUCCUGAAUCGAAAGCCGAAGACCCAAAAAAUGGGGUGAAAUCCUUCGCCUUCCUCCCCCUUCCGGCGCUGCGCAGGUAAGGUUUUUUUUAACUCCUUUUUUACUAUCUUUAUUUAUAUAUAUACAUGAAGAGAAAAGAGAGCAAAAUAAAUAAAUAAAUAAAAACUUCAAAACUGAAGAGAAAAAGACCUUGAAUCUGCCUUAUUUAUUUUCUUUCGGUUGAAUCUGUUUUUGUUUGUUACAAAAGUUUCCAGGGAAGAGAAAAAAAAAGAGAGUUACAUGCUUGGCUUUUAUAGCCGAUAUUAAUUUCUAUUUUUUGUUUUCUUUUUCCUUUCUUUUCUUUGGCUGUUGCGUGUUUGCUUCCUUAUUGCAGGGUGAUUGACGGGAGUGGUUGGCGACAGAGUCGGUGGCCACUUGCACUGAUGAAGCAGCGGUGGCGGCGCUAGGGUAGGCUAGGGACGGCGGCAGUACUAGGGUUUCAGAAAACUGAAACCCUAGUUUGACAAAUUGGUUUCGGGCCUGUUGGGCUUUAAAUUAUGGGCUUUGUAAUUGGGUUUUGGGUUUAGGUGAUUUGGGUUUAGGUGGUAUGGGCCCGGGUCAAAUUUUGGGUAAUGGGAUUGGGGCAAAAUUGGGUUGUACAGUUAUAAUAUCCCAAACGAAAUCAAACUAUAAACAUUAAAUUUUUCGAGUCUUCUAGAUACUGUAAAAAAUUCAGCUCCAACGGACACCAAAUGAACCUAUGAUCGAAGAAAAUACGAAGACUAGUCUGGCUAAAUCAAUCUGCCAAACUUACUUUUUAUCUUAUCUUUAAUUUGCUGUGAAAUUCAAAACUACGUGUAAUACUCAAUUUAUGCUCGACCCAUUUUGUUAAAACAAAUAAAAAAGAAAAGAAAAACAAAAUAUUUAAAUUUAGCCCAAAUGUCCAUUUACACAGCCCAAUUACAAUUGCAAAUAAAAAAAACUAAAACUAAACCCGAUCCUAAGCAUCAGCCCAAAUUCGACCCAUGCCCAAAACGAAUUCAGAUGCAGAAACCCUAGCCCAGCCUUAAUGCAAGCAAAAGUCGAAAGCCCUAAUAGUUGGUGCGCCGCUCCUGUAACAGCCCGAUUUUGGGCCUAGUCGGAACAGUGGUUUUGGGACCACAAAUCCGACGAGAAAAAAAUGUAAUGGCCCGAAUUUUCAGAGGUGUCAGAACGGUGAUUCGAGAUCACUAAAUUCGACAAAUGGGUAGAAAAUAUUAUUAAUUUAGUAAGUAUAAGUUAAAUGUGAAGUUAGGAAAAUUUUUGAAAUGGUGAAUAGUACACUAGAAAUAAAUAUUAAAAUAAUUAGAAUCGAAAAUGAGGUAUCGAGACCUCGGGGAUUUUAAACCGAGCCAUAAAUAUUUUUAUAAAUAUUUAUGUAGUCUUAAAAAGUUAGUAUUAAAGUUUCGUUAAGAAAUUUUAAAGUUCCGAUAAUUAAUUGAACAAAAAGGACUAAAUUGUAACAAAUACAAAAUUAUGAGAAAUGAUUAAAUAGUUUAAAUGAUAAAAGGAAGAGGGCUUAAAAGGUAAAUAGACCCAAGGUCUAUUUGGGCUGCACGGCAAAGGCAUGAAAUCAGCAACAAAGUAAGGAGAAUUAAGGGCAAAAUUGGAAUAUUGCAAAAUUUACUUAAUAAAGUUAGGACCAAAGUGGAAUUAUCUAGAUUUCUCUUUAUUUUUCUGCAUUAUCAUCAGCAUAAACACCAUAGAAGGGUUUUCUUAAGCUGGUUCUUCCUAUUUUUACUGCAGGUAAGUUCAAUUCUUGAUUAUUUCUUGAAAAUUUUGUGUUUUUGUGACUUUUACAACUAGGCCCACUUAUUGUAUUCAUUAGUUUUUGAUUCUAUGAAAGAAGUUGAAAGUUGCUAUGAAUACAUGCUGGAAGUAUAUGAUGAUUUAGCAUGGAAUUAGAGCUUUAAAUUGUUCAUAUGCUGAUUUAUUGAAAGAAUUGAAUAGAAAGUGAAUGUUUGGGACCUAAUAGUAAAAGAGUUUGAAGAUAGAGUUAUAUGUGGAAAUUCUGAAUUUCAAUAGUUGUGAAACAACUUAUAAUGUCUAGGUUAAGUAUUAAUUGAGAAAAUUAAAUUAAUUGAGGGGUUAAUUGAGAAAGGACCGAAUUGUAUAAACUGUGAAAUUUGGGGCAAAAAGGAAAUCAACAUUUUACACUAAAGCAGUUUUGGACAGCAGCAGUAGUAUAACUUUGAAAAAUCACCAAAAAUUUUGAGAAUUGAAUUAGAGGGUGAAUAAAAUAUAAAAUUAAAGCUCCUUGAAUCUAGUUUCUCAUAGAAGAAACGGUGUAAGCAAUGGAAUUGUAAAUCAUGAGAUAUAAUAAAUUUUGUGAGACAAUGUCAUAAUGAUUUCGGGUUCCCCUAUUCUGACUUUGGAAAAUCAUCAAAAAAUUAAGAAAAAUAUGAGUUAUAAUUUAUAUGAUUACAAUCCUUAAUGAGUCUAUUUUCAAAGAAAAUAAACGGAAAUAUCAUCCAAAUUCUGUACAAUUAUAUAAUUCAUUUUUAGUGAAGAGUGGUCGAAACUGUCAGACAGCGAAAUAGGGGGAACUUUAAAGAAUAAACUGUACUAUUUGGCUGAACCAAAAAUUCUGAAAAUUUUAUGGUAAGAAGGUAUGUGAGUCUAGUUUUAAGGAAAAUUAACGGAUCUUAAUUUAGAGCUCUGUAGCUCUAGAUAAAAAUAAUUUAGUGACUCUGACUCAGAUAAAUAGCUUUGAAUGUACAUGUGAGUGAAUAGUGAAAUUAUAGCUAGUGUUGUUUAAGUGUGUUAUACACAUUAAGGAUAUGGAAUGGAGAGGAGGAGGAGGAGGAAAAAUUGGGAAAUAUAUGAAUGAUUUGUGUAUAAUUGGUCAUAUGCUUAAUUAUAAUUGAUAAACGAUGAAAUAGAAAUGAUGCAUAUAUUUGUGCAGUAUUGGUCAUGGUUUAAGCUCAUGUGGGAAAAUAAAGUUUAUAGUACGUGUGUAUUAUAUUUUUGGUAUAUGAUUUGGCAUUAAGUAAUGUCGUGAAUGGAUAUUGAAUUAACACAUGUUGGAAAGUUUGAUAUAUGAAUAAAUAUUGUGAUCAUGAAAGAGUGUUACAGCUCCUGCCUUCAGCACGCGUCGAGCCUCCGCGCCAAAUCCACGUGAGCCUCCGUACACUCCAACUAGCCUCCGUACCUGCAACAAACAAAAGUAGACAAAACAACAGCAAAGGAUAGGAAGAAAAGGCAGUAAAUAGUGAAGAUUUUUCUGUAAUUUUCUUUGGAUUUCAUUAUGUAUUUUCGGCUAUAAAAGAGCCAUUAGGAAUAUUUGUAAAGGGUUUUUUUUUUACCCUCACACACAAAGAGAAUAUACACGCAUACAAGAUCAAUAUAGAGAAAGAAAUAAAAAUAAAUAAAUACAAAGAAUAGAAAAUCAAGUUUCGAAGGUGAUUCUUUGAAAAAUCCUUUUCGUUUUUCUCAUUUUUCCUUUUUCCUGGAUCUUUUGUUCAUUUCAAGUAAAAAAAGUAUAGAAAGGAAACAAGUUUAGAGGAAGGAGGUUUACCUGGACGCCGGACCUCGCUCGCCUCGUCGAAAUCGAAGGCUGAGAGGGGAUAAAUCGGUUUUGCGGCAGAAGGAAAGGGGGGCUAGGGUUCUUGUUUUAACUUUUUUAAAAAAAAUAGAAAAGGUUGCUAAUUAGGUUUUAAUGGGGGAUUUAUGUGUGUUAAAAAAACGACGUCGUUUAGCGACCUUUGACCCGUGCGGUGACCCGACCCGAGGAAAGGAUCUGCGCGUUUUGGGUCUGAUGGGUUUAUUGCGCAACAAGCCCUUCCGCAUUUGUUUUUCGUUUCAAUUCGGUUUUUAUUUGUUUUUUAAUUGUUUUCUCAUAUUUAGUUCCAAUUUCAAUUGGGUCCAUGAUUAAACGACAUCGUUUUCAUUGAUUGGGUUUGAAGGCCUGGUUUUGUGCGUCUAAAUUGCAGCAAUGGUCCCCCUGAUGUGCAAUAGUUCUCGAUUUAGUCGUCUCCACACUUAUUUCAAAGUCGUCCUUGAGAUUUUGUUUUAUUUUUGAAAUUGUCCUUGUCUUCUUUUAAUUUAUAAUGAUAUUAUUAUUAUUGUUGUUGUUAUUAUUACUAUUAAUAUGGGUAUUGUUAUCAUGUUAGUUUAUAUCUAUUUAUUUACUUUUAUUUUAUUAUGUAUUAUUAUAUAAUGCUUUUAUCAUGUAUCAUUUUAUAUAUUUUCUAUGUUAAUCUAAUAUGAUAUAUAUAUAUAUAUGUAUUUUUGUGAUCUUAUUUUAUAAUACUUUUUUAACCCAUUUAUAUGCCUUUAUGUUUUAAAGAUUUAUAAUAUUUUGUGCAAAACUAUUAUAUAUAUAUAUAGAUAUACAAUUUAUAUUAGACCAUUUUUAUCGUACAUAUACGUAUAUAUAAUUUAUAUUUUGAAACUCUAUUUUAUUAUAUUUUAUGCCUCUAUAUACAUCAUUAUAUGUUUAUUAUUCUUUAUAUUAAACCUGCCAUUUCACUUAUAUAUUUUUAAAACCAAUGUGUAUUAUUCUUUCUUCUUUGUUAUUUUUUAUCUCUUAAAAUAGAUUGAUAAUUCAUUUAAUUUUUGAAUGUUGUAUGACCGAGAUUAUCGUUGCCAUUCUUGUCCAAAUUUAUCCAUUGCUUGUUCAUAUUAUUUGAUAAUUUAUCGCUCACUAGCAUGUAUCGUAAUUUACGAAUUAUCAUUUUGAAUUAUGUACUACCAUUCAAUCGCAUUACAUUUGUUUGGAAAACAUCGAAAUCGUUUUGCACAUAAACCUUCAAAAUGCUUGGUAUCCAAAAUUCUCGAGAGGAUUGUGCCCUAAUUUAUUGGGCUUCAAUUCCCCUUUUUGAUUUUAAAUAACCGAAUACCCCUUUUUCAAUUUGAACAUAGAAAUUCCAAAAUAAAAAAAAACUCAUUCUCGGGAAUUUGAUGCGUUGUGUCCUAACGUAUUGUAUAUGACAUAUUUUUCUCGAGACGAGGAUUUUUCUAACAAAUAAAAAUAAAGGCAAUAUUCGAUAUUUAGGAAUUUUGUGAAAUCGAACCCUAACUUACUGGGUUUUGAUUUUUUCAUUUGACCCAAGUAGGAUAUCCUUCACAAAUGCACAGAUUUUAAAAAAUCAAAAGAUAAACUUAAUUUCGAGGAUUUAAAAUGUUACACUCUGACUUACUGAGUGUGUCAAUUUAUUUCUUUGAAAUAAGUGAGUCUUAUCAUCCAAUUUAUUUUAUUCAAAUUUUCUUUUCCAAGGAUCGUAUUUUAAAAUUUUUUCAAAAUUUCGACAUUAAGACAUUAAGCAAUCAAUUCAGUACCAAUUUUGGGCGUCACGAGGGUGCUAACUCUUCCUCGUGCGUAAUCGACUCCCGAACCAGUUUUCUCAAAAUUCACAGACCUAAAAUUAUUUUCAAGGUGAUCCGAUCACACCACAAUAAAAGAUCAGUGGUGACUCCCAUUCCUAUUUUUAAAAGUCGAUUCCUGUUUUUCAUAUAUAAAAAAAUGGUUUCGACACUACGGUUUUGUUUGUUUCCCUUAGAACAACUUUCAAAAAGUUAAUUUUGAAAAAUGGAUUGAAUUUUCAAAAUAGAUGAUAUUUUUUUGUGUUAAAAUUUUAUUCGUUGUUUGAAAAAAAAAUUUAAAUCAUUUUCUUAGAAUUAUUUUUAGUGAAACAAAUAUAUCAUAAAUAUAUUUGUUAUAAAAUAUUAUAUUAAUAUUUUCUUUUAACAAUUAAAAUAUAUUUUGUGAUAAGGUAAUAUUUUAUAAUAAUUAAUAUCAUAUAUACUUAAUAAUAAAUCAUGUCUAAUUAAAAUUUAAUUUCAAUUAAAUAUAUUAAUAAAGCUACAUUUAAUCAUAUUUUAUAUAAUUAAAAUAUUAAUAUAAAUAUUUUUCAAUAAUAUAUUAAAGAAUAUUUAAAAUUUAAAUUUAUUAUUACUAAGAUUAAUUAUUAAAACAAAAAUGUAAUAUUAAAUAAUUUAUCCAAUGAUAAGUUAUAUUAAUAAUUUAUUAUAUUAUUAAAUAUAAAUAAUUAAAUAUGUAUGUUUAAUAAUAUUAUGUUAUAAUAUUUAUUACUAAUAUUUUAAUAUUUUUAAACAACCAUGUUUUAAAGAUGGUGGUGAUGGUGAUGGUGCAGGCCCCCUUGUUAAAAUUACAAUAUUUUUAAGUGGGAUGCAUGUAAUAUAUUGUUAGGGUUUUAGAGUAUGUGGUCUUUAAAAGGGUUAAAUUAUAUAUUUAUAUAAUAUGAUUAUUGUUUAUAAACAUAAUAUUGUAGAUAAGUUUAUAUGUAUGUCAAUAUGUAUCCUACUCUAAGGUUAAUAUGUAUUUUUUAGAUGUGGGUUUACCUAUAUAAUAGUAUGAAUCCAUCAUGUGGUCUCAUGAAAUAUACAAACACAUAUCGUGCGAACACAAAGUACGAACAAUAAAAAAUACAAAUCAAGACCCAAUUGAAUAAUUGAAUAACGGAUAGGUAAUAAUGAAUAUCAUAACAUUUACUAUCCCCUCUUUUCUAGUGAGUUAUUGUUUAUGAUAAAUUUGCAACAAAUGUUUUUAUCAUUAUUUUGUUGGUAAAUGAUAAUAAGAUUAAACAUUACUUUCUUAAGCUCCUUCAAUUCUUUGGACGUUAGCGAGUAAACUUGAGCUUCAGCAUUCCACAAACACCUUAAUUUGAAGACACAGUUCUCUCAUACUAAAAACGACAUGGACGUUUACCUUGUAAUUAGAGAUUUGGGCUCAUUGUUGGGUUAUUAAUGAUACGGGGAUGGAGAGCUUUAAACUGGGUAUGGUUGGCCCCAAAGAGGCUCGAAACGUGCUUGAGACUAGAGGUGAUCAAGGGCCGGGUUAGGCCCAGUCUAGAAAAAAAAUUAGGCCCAUUUUUUAGAUUUGAACUCGGCUCGGCUCAAAAUAUAAGCUUAAAAAUUUGUCUAAGUUCAGUCCGAAAGAAAAUUGUUAAGCCCAAGCUCGACCCAUAUUAAAUUUUACAACACCAAAAAAGUAUAUUUAAAUAAAAAUAAAAUAUAUAUAUUUAAUAUAUAAUUCGGGCCGAGCUGAACUCGGGCCAAAAAAGUUUUACUCGGGGCUGGUCCGUUUUCUAAACAGACUUCGUUUUUUUUGCCAAAAUCCAUAUUUUUACCCGAAUCUUCCUAUUUUUUGGGGUGUGCCGUCGGGCCGAACUGGGUAACCGAACCAAUGAUCACCUCUGUAAUCACUGAAUUUUGUCCGGGAAUAACUUUCGUUAAAAAAAUUUUAAAAUUAAAAAAAAAUUAACUUUUUUGCUUUUUGACCCCUAAACUUUUCUAAAAUUUCAUUUUAACCCCUAAACUUUCUCAAAAUUACAGUUCAACCCCUAAACUUUUCUAAAUUACAUUUUGACCCCUAAAAUUUCUUAAAAUUACAUUUGGACCCUUACACUUUCUCAAAAUUACGUUUCGGCCCCAAAAUUUUUGCUACAUUUACAAAUUGGUCCUUCUGUCAGAAAAUCCCCAAUAAUCCGGCGGAUUUCGUGCACCUGCCCCACUAUUUCCGGCAGCCGGCCUAGGGCAUGGCCUUCCCCACCUGCUACCUGCAAACAAGAAGCAAAAUCAACUAUAAAAAGGAGUUUAAACUCCAAAAAUCGGACCCCCACCCACGAAAAAAAUAAAAAAAAAAAACUUGAAAGAAAAAGAAAAAAGCUUUGAGAAAGAAAAAGAAAAGGAAAAGAAGAGAGGGGAGAAGGAGAGGCCGACCAUCGGCGAGCCACCGGAGGAGGCGACGGCAGCAGCGGCAUCGACGGCGGCGUAGAAGACCGAACGGAGAAGAAGAAGAAGAAGAAAAAAAAAGAAAGAAGAGAAAGAAAGAAGGAAGAAGAAGAAGAAAGAAACAAAAAAAAAAGAAAAUAUUUUGUAAUAGUCGGCCCGGCCCGACUCGACCUGCACGACCCGUGACCCGACCCGACAGCACCAGCAACCUAGCAGGCCACGGUAGCAGCCCGGCGGCCCAAAGAGUAGCCCAAAAAGAAAAAAAGAAGAAGAACAAAGCAAAAAAAAAAAGCAGGCCAUUUUCAGCAGGCCCAGUGCAGCCCAGCAGACCCAGCGAACCCAGCAGGCCAGGCCCACACGCAAGCAGCCCAACAGAAAAAAAGGGAAAGAAAAAGAAAAGAAAAAAGAAAAAAGAAAAAAGAAGAAGAAGGGGUUCAAUUUGUAUUAUCCGUUCGGCGAAGCUCGUGUUUUGAGGAUUUUUUUUCGGUAAUUUUAUUUUUUAAUUUUAAUUUAAUGCUCGUAUUUUUUUUAAAUAUUAUUAGUAUUUUAUGCAUUUUUAUAUUUUGGCAUUUAUAUUUUUAAUUUAAUUUACUUCAAUUUUUAUUUUAUUUUAUUUUAAAUAAUUUUAAUAAAUGAGGCAACGAAUCGAUUUAACAUAAAAUCGUUGAUUUCAUUGCUAUGUUGGGUGAAUAUCAUCGGUUUGUGUUAAACACGAUACACCCUUUUUAAAAAAAAGAAAAAAAUCGAAAAAAUUCUAAAAUUCUCAUUUUUUUAAAAUUCUCGUGUUUUAAUAGAAUCACGAUUAAAUAUUAAGUUGAAUCGAUUUGGCACUAAUUCGAUGAUUUCAUCUCCAUGUAGGGAUGAAUAUCAUUUAUUCGUGUUAAAUAUGGUACUUCUGAAAAAAAAUCGGGUUUCAAAAAUUUUCGUGUUUUCAAAAAUUCUCAUGUUUCAAAAAUCUUCGUGUUUUAAAAAUUCCAGUGUUUCAAAAAUUUUCGUGUUUUCAAAAAAAAAUUUCUCGUGUUUUUAAAAAUUCCCGUAUAUCGAAAUUUUCUUGUUUUCAAAAAAAAAAUUCCAUGUUUCAUAAAUUUCCGUGUUUUCAAAAAAAAAUUCUUGUUUUUCAAAAAUUUUCGUUUUUAAAAAAUUUGACCGUGUUUCAUAAAUUUUCGUAUUUCAAAAAAACCUCGUGUUUCAAAAUUUUCGGGUUUUUUUAAAAACAAUUCGUGUUUCUAAAAUUCUCGUAUUUUAAAAAAAAUCGUGUUUUCAAAAAAAGAAAAAGUUGUUGUGCUUUAAAAUUAUCGUGUUUCAAUCGGAUCACGAUUAAUAUUAAAUUGAACUCGUAUUUUUGAAAAUGAAAACAACGCGCGUUUAACGAGAUACCAAUUUUGGGCGUCGCGAGGGUGCUAAUACCUUCCUCGCGCGUAACCGACUCCCGAACCUUAAUUUUCUCUGAAUUUUUACGUGGACCUAAAAUUACCUCUUUUUAGAAAAGUUUAAAAAUGAAUUUUUCUUCUAAAAAGAGAAUUUUGUAGGUGUCCGAUCACACCUAAAAAAAGAUCGGUGGCGACUCCUUUUUUUCAAAUAAAAUCGAGAUUCAGUUUUCAAGUUUUUAAUAAUUACUUCGACAAGCGCCCGUGCGCAAAAUUUUUAAGUCGCUACAGCCUCUACUUGAGACAACAGGGUUUUGCAGGGAAUUCUUACAGGUUCGUUUCUGGCGACAAAAAAGAGCUCUUCACUAUAAGCAUACAAACAAGAGCCAAAACUAUGCCUCUUAGUGAUGAUAUUAGGCCUUAUGUUAUUCCUUUUCAACAUCAAACCGUCAACCGGUAUGGUAUGUUUUUUUUAUUUAAUCUGCAAUUUGUGAUAAUUCUUUGUUAUUUAUGUAUGGAAUUUAUUGGGAGGAAAUGCUGGAAAGAAUUCAUUUACGAGAAUUGGUCCAAGAUCAAGGGUGAACAUUACGGACCCUGAAAAAUAAGAGAAAUACUUAACAAAUUUAAUGACUUCCAGAAGAUACGUACCAAUCCACUGCUUAAUUUGCUUGUAAGCGGCCUUGUUAACCUCGAAGGAGACCGAUGGAGCAAGCAUAGAAAAAUCAUAACCCUUGCAUUUCAUCAAGAUAAGUUGAAGGUAUAGAAUAGUAAUGGGUACUCAAGACUUUAAAGAAAACAUCAUACUUAAGCCUAUGCUUUUCUGAUUUAGAAAUAAUUGGAUGCAGAAUAUGUUGCCAGCAUUUUAUCAAAGUUGUAGUGACAUGUUUAAGCAAAUGGGAGAAGAUGGUGUGUACAGAAGGAUACAUUGAGUUAGAUGUGUCGCCUUAUCUCGUAGAUUUGACAAGAGAUGUUAUUUCCCGAUCUGCUUUUGGAAGCAGCUUCGAAGAAGGCAAACGAAUUUUCCAAUUACUAGAGGACCAACUCGUUCUCACAAUCAAAUUAAUACAAACUGUUUACAUUCCAGGAUGGAGGUAACCGUCUACUUUAAUUUACUUGAAAAAGGUUGCAAAUGUUGGAAUUGGCUAAAUUCGUGUUUGUUUUCUUGAAGGUUUUUGCCCACAAAGACAAACAGGGAGGUGAAGAUGAAACACAAAGACAUAAAAGAGUCGCUCAGGGAAAUGAUAAAAAGAAGAAAGCAGGCAAUUAAAGCAGGGGAAGAGAGUAAUGAGGACUUGUUGGACAUACUUGUGGAAUCCAAUAUCAGAGAAAUGGAAGCAAAGAAUAUGGGGAUGAGCAUUGAGGAUGUGAUUGAGGAAUGCAAGCUGUUUUACUUAGCUGGCCAGGAGACCACUUCGGUCUUACUGGUGUGGACUAUGGUUUUAUUAGCAAGGUAUCCCGAUUGGCAAAGUAAAGCAAGAGAGGAGGUUUUGCAUGUUUUGGGUGACAGUAAACCUGAUGCUGAUGGCCUUAAUCGUCUCAAAGUUGUAAGUCCCUAGCAUGUCUCUUGAAGGCCCGAUCUCUGAGGUCGACAACUCAAAAACUUGGUUCUUUGUUUCGCUAAUUCUACAGUUAACAAUGAUAUUGUACGAGGUUCUAAGGCUGUACCCACCAGUGAUUGAGCUAGGACGUUCCGUUCCAAAAGAAAUAAAACUGGGAAAUUUGUUGUUACCAGCAGGAACAGACGUUUCGGUUCCAAUCCUGCAGAUCCACCAUGACAAAGAUCUUUGGGGCGACGCCGCACGGGAAUUUAAGCCACAGCGGUUCACGGAAGGGGUUUCCUAAGCAACAAAGAGUCAAGUCACGUUUCUGCCAUUCGGAUGGGGUCCUAGGAUCUGCAUUGGCCAAAACUUUGCCAUGAUGGAAGCUAAAAUGGCGAUGGCUAUGAUUCUCCAACGCUUCUGGUUUGAGCUUUCCCCUUCCUAUGCUUACUCUCCUUACAACAUGGCAACUCUUCGUCCACAGCAUGGUGCACAGAUAAUUUUACAUAAACUUGGCUGUAAUUGAAUUGUUAUGUAAGCAAAUCUUUGUGAAAAUAUAGUGUUUUAGUGUAUCGUCAACGUCUGUCUGUAAUGGUACAAUUCCGAUGCAUGAAUAGUAAAUUUUGAGAUGUUUGGUGAAGUCCGAAAUAAUAUGCAGAAAUUGAGUGUCUAUGGUGGACAUAGUUGAGGGACUAAUGUGGUAAUUAUCAAUCAAAUAAUUCGGUACAAAGACUUAUAUGGAAAUUAAAGCAGGGGGAGUUGAAAAUGACUACUCUGCUUUGGGCAUCAAUUUAGAAAGAUUUAAAGUACAAAUGUGUUAUUAGUUAAGGGAUUUGUUUUAAAGAGGGAAUGACAAUUAAACCUCAUGGUUGAUUUGUGGAAGGGAACCAAUGAUGGGAUGAUUACUCUUAGUGGUGAAAAAAAAACUAUUAAGGUGGUUAUUAUAGUUGUUAUCACCAGCCUAAAAUUUGAAUAGGUUCAGGUCGGAUUAUAUUGAGCUUGCAAGAUUAGUUCACGGACCAAACUUGCAUGAUAAUAGGUAUUCACAACAAGAUAUCUAUAGUUUCCAACAAAGUCACAUGUGAGAUCGUGCAUUAGAACCGCAUAAACAUGUUUUAUGUUUAGAAUAUGAUAUGUGUCUAUGUGUAUAGAAUCUACCUAAUAUAUCAUAUUAAUGAAUAGUAUCAAUUGCGGAGCCAAAAAAUUAUUUGUGAGGGGUCAGAAUUAAAUUGUAUAUUUUUACAAAAAUAAAAAUUAAAUUUCACUAUUUUAAUAGUUUAUUUAUUUUUAAUUUUUAAAUGAUUAAAUUAAAUUUUAUAAAUUUUUAGGAUCAAAGUAUAAUUUUAUCAUUACUAAUUUAAAAUUUUAUAAAUUAUAAAAAGUUUAUAUGAAAAGUUUUCUAUUUUAGGGUGGCCAAAGCCCCUGUCAACUUCUGACUCGAUCACUUGCGGUUAGUUGGGUAAAGACUCAAGAAAAAUAGCGGUGUGUUUGGAUGGACGGUGCGUUUACUUGCGGUUAGUGUAAAAAUAGCGGUGGCGGUGAGAUUAGAUACUAUAGCAACACUGUAGCGUGAGACAAAAAGUAAGUUAAACGCACUGCACUGCACUUAAUCGUCUAUCUAAACUCACCAUAAGUGUCUAAAAUAUGAUUUAAGUGAAGAUACGUGGGGUAGGUGUCAUGGAAAUGUAAAAAAAAAAAAGAAUCCUACUAAUGUAUGGGAUGUGUACAAUUGAAUGCAGGAGUGAAUCAUUUGGGUAACAUUUGGACAAGAAACAUAAUGAACAAAAUGAAAGGAGAGGAAGCUAGUAAUAAAAGAUUCUUUUGGGUUAUAUAAUUUGUUUGGCAUAUAUUUUUAUAAUAUUUAAAUAUCAUUUUGGAGUUGUUGAAUUAUAAUUUAUUUUUAUGUUUUAAAACAUAAUUAUUCUAUUUUUAGAGGUCAGAGUAGAGGUGAGCAUGAGUCGGGCUACUCGGCUCGGGCUGAAGGCUUGCGCAAAAUGUGAGAGAUUUGGGUAAAAAUAUAGGCCCGAAAAAUGAGUUUAGACAAAAAAAAAUAUAAGGCCCGUUGAAAAAACAGGCUAGGCCUUGGGUAAGGCAUUUUGGCCCCAGACCCGGCCCAACCCAAAUUCACUAAGGGCACGUUUGGUUCGCUGUAUUGGAAUAGAGGCGUAAUGUAAUAGAGGCGUAAUGGAAUAGAGACGUAAUAGCAAAUCAAUUGUUUGGUUGAAUGUAAUGGAAUAGAGGCGUAAUAGUAUUCUUAUAUUUGGUUGAAUGGAAUAGAGUUGUAAUAGCAUAAGGAAAAAAGUUAAAAUGACUAGAAUACCCUUAGCAGAAAUUUGUUUAGAUAAAUGAUUAUUGUUAUUGUUAUUAAAUUUUAAUAAGAUUAUUAAUAUCAGUAAUAAAUAAUUUAAUCAUAUUUUAACAUAAUUAUUAUUAAAUAUAAUUUAAUAAAAAUAUAUAAUUUAAUAAAAUUCUUAAUAUUAAAUAUUCUUAAUAUUAAAUUACUAAAAUCAUAAUAUAUAAUACUAUAAAAUAUAAUUUAACAUAAUUAUUAUUAAAUAUAAUUUAAUAAAAUUCUCAAUAUUAAAUAUAUUCUUAUAUGAAUUUACUAAAAUCAUAAUAUAUAAUACUAUAAAAUAUAAUUUAAAAUAAUUAUUAUUAAAUAUAAUUUAAUAAAAAUAUAUAAUUUAAUCUAAAGUUUGAAUGUGUAUUUACCUAGCAAAAAUCAAUGAACUCUCGUGUAACUAUAACCUUAAUAAUAUAUGAUGUAUAAUUAAUAUUUCGUGACUAAUUAAUAGCAUAGAGAUAAAUAUAGUAAUGACGAAUUUAUAGUAUACGAUUAAAAUGCUAAUAAUUUAUAGUAUACAAUUAAAAUAUUAUAAAUAAAAUAAUAGUAAAUGAUAUAUAAGAUAAAUUAACAUAUAAAUAAUUCAGAUAUGUAAAGGAUAUGGCUGAAUAUGGUUGCUCCAAUAAUAAAGGAUAUAUAAUAUAUCAUGGUGUUGUUUUGUUUAGAUAGUUCGGUAACUUAGGAGGGUAUGUAUGAAGAACACAAGUUGAUGCAGAUAGAAAGACGACAAUAUUACAUGAUUACAAUAUGAUAUAGUAUAUAUAUAUAAUUUAUGGAUUCCUUGCAAUCACGUGGGUUCUCUAGCCAUUUUAUUUAGCAUAUCCAGUGAUAUUAAGAUCCAGAAUUAUAAUACAACUAAAAUCUGUGCACACUUAUGGAUGAUCCAACAAAGCCUCAGUUGGCUUUAGGUUCCAAAUCUUGCAACCCACAAACCAUAUUUGCUGGCACUGCAACAUCAAUCAUCUUAGGAUAUGCCAAGUUAAGAUCUGUUGCACCAACAAAAACAGAGGAGAAAUUGGAAGGCGAUCCGAAAAAACCCAAGGAUGCUUUUUCUUUUCUUUUUUUUUUAUAAUCUUUAUAGACUGGUUAUAUUGAGCAUCAACUUACUUUCCAUGAUGUUUUUGAAAGUCUCUUACAAAAAGGGUAUUCAACAAAUAAUAUAAUCAGACAUAUUGAUAGGACAAAUUGAAACUAGUAUUCUAUGAUCAUAAUAAAGAGUAAUCUUUAAUCAAAUGCGUGAAGGUAUUGAGAUGUCAUGCUUUUUCAUGAUUUCCUGUUUUACCAUGGCGAUGUUCAUUGGAAUAGUCCCAUCCAAGAGAAUCAAACCAAUGCUCAGCAAGAAAUGUUCAAUGCAUAUGUAAUUUUAAUUACAGAAGUUAUAUGCAGCUUAUAUGAGUUCAAGAUCAUAAAAUACUUCAUGGACAAAAGGAAACCCUUUCUUAUCACUGAAAUGAAAAUAGGCACUCUUAAUUUUCUAUUGUCAAAAGUAGCAAGCCAUUUUCCAAAGAAAAGGGAAGAUGGAUGGUUCCAGAAAGAAUACCUCAUCCUUUGUCAAGUGUGGAUUAUAUAGCAUCUCCUCUCCCACAGUGGUUACCUAUAAUCAAUGAGGUUUAUAAAAUCGAGCAAUCAUUUAUAUAUGUAAGAAAUGAUAGGAAUAAAGUUUUAUAUCUUACUGAGAAUCCUUUGUAGUCAUGAGCUGGAUAUAGCAAUGUCUCUUUCGGUAAUGUAAAAAUCUGGAUCCAUGAAACAAAUAAGUCCAUAAAUUUUAUUCAAAUUUUGACAAUUACAAUAAAAUUUUGAGAACUCAAAGAAUGUGACCAUAAAAAGUCCCCUGUCCUUACCUGUGAAUGCACUGACUUGUAGAGUUGCUGUGAACUUCCACCCUGCAAAAUGCAUUAAUCAGUGCUAGUCAAUGGCUACUGAAUGUGGGAGCAUUAGAGAAAAUUAUCUUAAAAACUUAAGUAUAACAAAAUUAGACAAUGACAUCCAGAUGGAAAGAAAUUGCCAGCAUAUAAGACCAGCAUUUAUGUACUCACGACUGAAAAUCCUUUGCAAAAAGUAUAGCCCUGAUAGUUCAAACUUUUACUUCAAGGAUGAUUUAAUUACUGAUUAGUUUGCCAUGAGGCUUGUGAAUGACAAACACUUUAUGUGCAACCACAGUAACAAGGUAAGCACCAAUAAGUAGAAGACUAGACGAAUAGGUAACCAAGAGUUAGAGCUAAAACAGACAAACAGAGCUACUAUCCAAUGAGCUAAAACAUACAAACAGAGGUAUAUUUUAAUAAUGAAAAUAAUCGAUUGCCUUAAACACCAUAUAGUGUUCCAAUCAAUCAAAUUAUAGCAGGCAUUAAAACCUUUCCCUUUCGUUAAUUCACAACUAUUAGCUUCAUUAAUCAAAUCCUAUGUACAGUUGAUCGAUUGAAAGUGUAACAUUUCAAAGACGAAAUUUAAACGCAAAACUGGUUAACAUUGAAAUUACAUGUAAAUAUAACCUAAAAAAUCAAAAAAUUAAUCAUAUUUUCAGAUUUCAGGCCGAAAUGGAAUGAAAUGAAAGGUAAAUCCAUUUUUUCCCCAAAAAAACAAAAAUAAAGAAAUAAUAUUUCAAGAACAGAUCAUUAAAUUCAUGGUAUAUAUAAAGAAAUUUAAUUGAAAUCAAAGGAAUAGAAGAAGGGAAAAGCGUACUUGGAACCAUUGCUGCUACUCUCUGUUACUCUGUUACCUCAUACGAUUCGUUAAAGGGUUGUUAGGGUUUGUUAAAAGGUUGGUCAGGAUAGAAGCAUGAAAAGGAGGGAGAAGGUUGGAAGGAAAUGGGAAGAAAAAUGAAAAAAAGAAGAAGAUGCUGCAACGGCUUGGAGGGUAAAAGAGGACCGAUUAGGUAAUCCUUUCUUUUGGAAGGGAUUACAAAUCGGCGCUGCAUAAGGGAAAAUGGGGAAUCAGUGCGCUGCGUAAUAGGCCCGUAUUAAGGCAAUACAGCCAACCAAACAUGGUAAUCAGUGGGGCCACGAAUUAGGGGUGUAUUGGCUAAUCCAAUACACCCAACCAAACAUGCUCUAAAGGACAAAAAAAUUUGAUUUUUUAAAUAUUAUUUUCUCUCUAUUUUGCUAUCAUUUUACUAUUAUGUUGCUACUAUGUUAUUGUUAUUUUUGAAUAUUGUAUAAAACUUAUUUUAUUGUUAAUUUUGUUAUUAUUUUAAAGACAUUUGUUAAUUUUGUUAUUAUUUUAGAGACAUUUGUUUGUUAAGUUGCAUCUAUCUUAGUGUUAUUUAAGUAUACAUAUUUUUUAAAAUUUAUUUUCAAUUUAUUGGGAAAUAUUUAUUUUGAUGUUUUUAGUAUUUUGGAUGUAUUAUAUAUAUUAAAAUUAUAUAAAAAUUAAUAUGGCCGAGCCAGGUCAGGCCCAGAUUUUAGCAUUUUUAUUCAGGUCGGGCUUGAGCAAAAUUUUAAGCCCAUUUUUUGGGCCAAACCAGGCCUGGGCUUAGCAAAUGGGCCUAAAUUUUUAGUCAAGCUCGACCUAAACCCGAUCCGGCCCAUGCUCACCUCUAGAUCAGAGCUGCCCUCGCUUUGCAUUUCUUUGAGAUUCAGUCUUAUCUACUGUUGAUUGCCCACUCAAUGGAGGGUUGAGUAGAAAGAUUUGGUGAAGCAAGCUAAGCUAUCAAUCAAGGUUGGAGAAAGCUUAGGAGGUCACAAUGCAUAAUUAUUUAAAUGUAAUUCUAAUAUUUAAAUAAAAUUUAUUAAUAUAGUAUUAACAAGCCCUAAAUGUAAUGAUUAUAUACUAUUACAUUUUUAAGAAGAGAAAACAUGUUUGAACCUUAAAAACAUCAUUAUUAAAAAUGAUAAUUACAAAUUUUAAAAUAUAAAAAAUAUAAUUAAAAAUUAAUUUUAAACCCGAGCUGGAUAAAAUUCUAAUUUUAGAUAACGAUACUAAUAAGAAAUCAAUAUUAAAAUGAAAAUGAAAAGUAAUUUAAUAUAAUUUUUGAGUCUUGGGCAAAGGCACUCAAUGAAUGCUUGGAAAGAAAUAAUGCAACUUGGUGAUAGCUUUUGUUGGAGUAAUAUGCUCUUAUUAUAGUUUUAUGUUUUUAUCUUGCAAAAACAACAUAUUGGAGUUUUCGGCAUGAUUUUUUCUUAAUACUUUACAUGAAAAAUAAUAAUGGGACUUAAAUUGCUACAAUAUUACAACACAAAGUUACAAUAAGAGCUUAUAACUCAACAAAGGCUAUCAAUAAAUAAUCUCAGGCAAGCUAAAGAGAAAUGUUGAGAAUACCACCCGAAUAGUGACUGACUUUAAAAGUUGAAAACCCGAAGCUAUAUUAUCUCAAACGAAAUCAAACCAUAAACAUUAAAAUUUUCAAGUCUACUAGUUACUGUAAAAAAUUCAGCUCCAACAGACACCAAAUGAGCCUUUGAUCGAAGAAAGUACGAAAAAUAGUCUAGGUAAACCAAGCUUCCAAACUUACUUAUCUUAUCUUUAAUUUGCAGUGAAAUUCAAAAUUAAGAUUUUGUUUAUUUCACUUGGAACAACUUUCAAAAAAUUAUUUUUGAAAAAUGAAUUGGUUUUUCGAAAUAGAUGAUAUUUUAUUGUGUCAAAAUUUUAUUCAUUGUAGGAAAACUUUUUUUAAAUCAUUUUCUUAGAGUUAUUUUUAGUUAAAUAAACAUAACAUAAAUAUAUUUGUUACAAAAAAUUAUACUAGUAUUUUCUUUUGACAAUUAAAAUUUAUUUUAUGGUAAGACAAUAUUUUAUAAUAAUUAAUAUCAUAUAUAUACGUAAUAAAAAUCAUGUUUAAUUAAAAUUUAAUUAAAAUUAGAUGUAUUAAUAAAGCUACUCCUCCACAACCCGCAUCCGCAACAGCACCAGCACCAGCACCAGCACCAGCAUCAGCACCAUGGGACAACUAUUGGGUUUCCUCCACCUGCCUCUAUCGCUCCUCCUCAGUAUUACCCCCAAGCCUACCAGACCGUGCCGGGUAUUCUACAAAUAUGAAAAAACCUUCUUCUCUUUUUAUUAGCUUAUCGAAAUGAAGGAUUUUGAGAUUUGGGCUUUUGUUAGAUGGAUGGUUAAUGAUAUUUUUUAGAUGAAAGAUACAAGUUUUUUAAUGUUUUAGAAGAAAAGGUGUUUAAAUAUUAGGAGUUUUUUAGCAGAGAAAGAAGAUAAAUAAAUGCAUAGAGAUACAUUAGCAAUAUUAUUUGGAUUUGGUUGUCUAAUGUAAUGAAGAAUUUUUUAAGGGUGACCUGAGUAGGUGUGGCAAGAUUCAAAGUUUUUUCUAUUAUAGCAGAUAUAUAUAUAUUAAUGGUUUAAGAAGACUAGAAGUCGGUUUCAAAGGAAGAUGAGAAAUAAAAGCAUUUAUAUAUAUGAUAUGUCAUUAAUUCAUAAACCAAAUAUAUAAAGUAUGUAAAAGUGUCAGGGGUUAAUCAUGGUGUUUUGACAAUCCGGUAACCUUCAACUUGAAGAAAACCUUAGGUUUCAAAAAUUUAUGUGAAGAGUUAGAAUGGUAUGCUUCAUGGAUCUGAAUAACUAGAACAGUGUAAGAGUGGUAUAUUGUGUCAAGUUUGGUUUCUUGUAUAUAAUUGUAUCGAAAACAAUGUUACAUGAGUUAAAAUGAAUGUUCAUCCAAUUUAACAAAGCCUGCAUUAUGUUGAUCAAAAUUUUUAAUUCAUGUUGAGGUUUCUUCCGUGAUAUCUUUGAUGUCAAGGUUAUGAUGUUGCUGAAGGGACACCUGUAAGAGAUAAGCCACCGUGCUGUGGCAUUGGAUUCGGAUGGUUCUUGUAAGUGUACAUAGUUUUCUUUGUUUUUAAAGAGUUCUUUACAUAUGAAGUAAAACAAGUAGCGACUUGAUGGAUAUGUCAUUAAGCUUUAACUUAAGCAAAUCAUUUUCCUUCAUCUCUAAUUGCCAUUUCUUUAAAAGAAAAAGAGGAAGUUUUGUAGUUUACAGUUUGGACAAAUGGAAGUUAAUAUAAUGCACUAUUUGGAUGGACUAUGGAGAUAUCCAAUCAUAUUGGAUGAGUUAUAAGAAACCUGUGAGUUCAUAUUGGGUUUACUUUAUAUCAUAAUUAGAUUGUUGAGCUGGCUGUCAUACUUAGAUGGUAUUUCACGUUGCUACUUGUUAAACUAUACCACUUUCACAUUCAUACGUGAAAUGGCUGGGAUUUAGUGCCAUUCUACUUAGCAGCCUCGUGUAAUACACAGGUGAAAUGUUUAUGUCUUCAUGUCACCUUAAAGUUCCCAUUUCCAUGACGGUAUUGUUAAGUAAAGACUGGUACAUACCCCAAAAUACGGAAAUUGUUUUGGAUGUAUACUAUACUUUACCAUGCAUGAUUUUUUACAAGUUUGCAUGGUAUUUUAUCAUUAUAUUGGUCUUUAUUUUCUAUACUCGCAGCUUCCAUUAAUAUAUUUUUAUGAAUUUUAUCAUUAUGCUGGUUUGAAGGUUCAUCAUUGGUUUCUUCAUUGGGGGCCAUCCCUGGUAUAUUGGAUUCUUUGUUUUACUUUGUGCAAGGAUAGACGACAGAGAGAAAGCAGGAUAUAUUGCAUGCACAAUUGCCGUGAGUAUCUUUUCUAUCAUUAUUUUUUUCUUUUCCAAUUUUAUGAAAGCCAUCCUUCCUGCCUUGUAUUGAUCAUCAAUUUAACCAUUAUAUAUAUGUAUCUUAUGUAUUUGUACCAUGCUUUAUCUUCAAUGCAAAUAUAAGUUAAACUACAAAGAUUGGAUUGUUAAAAAAAGUUUAAAAUGUUAAAAAAAUUGAAAAUUUUGAUUUUGUAAGAAUGAUAGAAAACCAAGGCCAGUGCUUGCAUAUGUUAUCUACUACAUGCACAAUCGGGUCGAUGUCUGUAUAUGUUUCAUGUUUAGAAAUCGUGUUCAAUUGGGUUACGAUAUGUACAAUUGAAGUGUCAAUUUAUAAUUUCCUUAUCAAGAUUACACAUUUUUUUGUUAAUAUUCGGAAUCACUCAAUGGUUAUAAACCCUGAUUGGAUACUGUCCACAAAGUCUAGUUGGAACAUCCCUUGUAUUCUUUGUCCUUUCUAAGAACUUUCCUUUCCAUCAUUCUCGCUUCUGUUUUUUUUUUCUUCCCUCUACUUUAAGUCAUUAUCUAACGUAGAUAUCCCUUGUAUUCUUUGUCCUUUCUAUGGCAAUCGAGUCAAUUGAUGGCAAGCCAAAAAAACAAAAAGAGCAGCUAUCCUGUCUUACUCGAUUGCCAUCCCUCCUGUUAAACACCAUUAAGAAAAGGAAAAUUUUAGUUAAGCUUUAAAACAGCCAUGUUUUAACGAUGUUGGUGAUGGUGCUUGUGCAGGCCCUUCUUGCUACAAUUACAAUUAUUCUUAGUGCAACAAUUAAAGCUGGUGGGUGAUAAAGCACACCUCUUUUGACUGAGAGAUGUAUAGGUUCCCAAAUAAUAUGUAUAUGCUCCCCCCCCUCCCUUUAUUUUAUUUUAUUUCCAGUAAGUUAUUGUUUAUGAUAAUUUGCAACAAAUGUUUUUGUCAUUAUUUUGUUGGUGAAUGAUAAUAAGAUUAAGCUUUACUUUCUUAAGCUCCAAUUCCUUGGACGUUGGUGAUUUUUUUAUUAUAGUUGAGUCAUUGUAUGGUAUUAAUAUAAUUUAUGUCGCUUAAAAUUUAUAACUAAAAAUAUAAAAUUUAAAUUUUACUUCAAUUUAUUUGUAUUUAUAAAUGGUUAAUUCAAACUUAUUUUUUUCCUCAUUAUAUUUUAUAUUUAAAUUAACAUUUAAACUAUUUUUCAUUAGCAAUGUUGUUAAGAAUUAUAUUUUUUAGCACCAACAUCAAACUUACUAAAAUUAAAUUUUUAACUAUUUAAAAAAAAUAUUUUUAGCUAUUUAUCAUCAUAGAGAAAAAAAGGUGACGUCACCACGCCUCAUGCUUCGACACCACAAACUAGACUCUCAUCACCCGUAUUUAUCAUCGAUUCAAAUUCCAGAACUACCUAAAAAUAUAUCUUCAAACUUCCUCUGGUUAAGUUCAUUGAUAGUCAACUUACUAUCAUUUCUAAAAAAAAAACAAAUAAAUUGGUUAAUAGUAAUCUCAAUGAUUCAAUUUUAUUCUUACCAGUAUCUGUCCUUUAGAAAGGGGCUUAUAAAAGGGGUAGAGGUGAGUAAACUUGAGCUUCAGCUUUCCACAAACACCUUAAUUUGAAGACACAGUUCUCUCAUACUAAAAAAGACAUGGAAGUUUACCUUGUAAUUAGAGAUUUGGUUUCAUUGCUUGUUGUUGGGUUAUUAAUGAUAUGGGGAUGCAGAACUUUAAACUGGGUAUGGCUGGCCCCAAAAAGGCUCGAAAGCUGCUUGAGACAACAGGGUUUUGCAGGGAAUCCUUACAGGUUCCUUUCUGGUGACAUAAAAGAGCUCUCAACUAUGAGCAGACAAACAAGAGCCAAACCUAUGCCUCUUAGUGAUGAUAUUGGGCCUUAUGUUGUUCCUUUUCAACAUCAAACUGCUAACCAGUAUGGUAUGUUUUUUUUGUUUAAUCUGCAAUUUAUGAUAAUUCUUUGUUAUUUAUGUAUGGAAUUUAUUGGGAGGAAAUGCAGGAAAGAAUUCAUUUACGUGGUUUGGUCCAAGACCAAGGGUGAACAUUACGGACCCUGAAAAAAUAAGAGAAAUACUUAACAAAUUUAAUGACUUCCAGAAGAUACAUACCAAUCCACUGCUUAAUUUGCUUGUAAGCGGCCUUGCUAACCUCGACGGAGACCGAUGGAGCAAGCGUAGAAAAAUCAUAAACCCUGCAUUUCAUCAAGAUAAGUUGAAGGUAUAGAAUAGUGAUGGGUAAUCAGACUUUACAGAAAACAUCAUACUUAAACCUAUGCUUUUCUGAUUUAGAAAUAAUUGGAUGCAGAAUAUGUUGCCAGCAUUUUAUCAAAGUUGUAGUGACAUGUUAAGCAAAUGGGAGAAGAUGGUGUGUACAAAAGGAUACAGUGAGUUAGAUGUGUGGCCUUAUCUCGUAGAUUUGACAAGAGAUGUGAUUUCCCGAUCUGCUUUUGGAAGCAGCUUCGAAGAAGGCAAACGAAUUUUCCAAUUACUAGAGGACCAACUCGUUCACAUAAUCAAAUUAAUACAAACUGUUUACAUUCCAGGAUGGAGGUAACCGUCAACUUAAUUUACUUGAAAAAGGUUGCAAAUGUUGGAAUUCGCUAAAUUCGUGUUUGUUUUCUUGAAGGUUUUUGCCAACGAAGACAAACAGGGAGAUGAAGAUGAAACACAGGGACAUAAAAGAGUUGCUUAUGGAAAUGAUAAAGAGAAGGGAGAAGGCAAUUAAAGCAGGGGAAGAGAGCAAUGAGGACUUGUUGGACAUACUUGUGGAAUCCAAUAUCAGAGAAAUGGAAGCAAAGAAUAUUGGGAUGAGCAUUGAGGAUGUGAUUGAGGAAUGCAAGCUGUUUUACUUAGCUGGCCAAGAGACCACUUCGGUCUUACUGGUGUGGACUAUGGUUUUAUUAGCAAGGUAUCCCGAUUGGCAAAGUAAAGCAAGAGAGGAGGUUUUGCAUGUUUUGGGUGACAGUAAACCUGACGCUGAUGGCCUUAAUCGUCUCAAAGUUGUAAGUCCCUAGCAUGUCUUUUGAAGGUCCGAUCAAUGAGGUCGACAACUCAAAAACUUUGUUUCUUUUUUCGCUAAUUCUACAGGUAACAAUGAUAUUGUACGAGGUUCUAAGGCUGUACCCACCGGUGGUUGAGCUAGAACGUUCCGUUCCAAAAGAAAUAAAACUGGGGAAUUUGUUGUUACCAGUAGGAACAGAAGUUUCGGUUCCGAUCCUGCUGAUCCACCAUGACAAAGAUCUUUGGGGCGAUGACGCACGGGAAUUUAAGCCAGAGCGGUUCGCGGAAGGGGUUUCCAAAGCAACAAAGAGUCAAGUCACGUUUCUGCCAUUCGGAUGGGGUCCUAGGAUCUGUAUUGGCCAAAAUUUUGCUAUGAUGGAAGCCAAAAUGGCGAUGGCUAUGAUUCUCCAACGCUUCUGGUUCGAGCUUUCCCCUUCCUAUGCUCACUCUCCUUACGGCAGGGCAACUCUUCGUCCACAGCAUGGUGCACAGAUAAUUUUACAUAAACUUGGCUGUAAUUGAAUUGUUAUGUAAACAAAUCUUUGUGAAAACAUAGCGUUUUAGUUUAUCGUCAAAGUCCGGUGUCUGUAAUGGUACAAAUUCGAUGCAUGAAUAGUAAAGUUUGAGAUGUUUGGUGAAGUCCGAAAUAAUAUGCAGAAAUUGAGUGUGGUAAUUAUCAAUCAAAUAAUUCGGUACAAAGACUUACAUGGAAAUUAAAGCAGGGGGAGUUGAAAAUGACUACUCUGCUUUGGGCAUCAAUUUAGAAAGAUUUAAAGUACAAAUGUGUUAUUAGUUAAGGGAUUUGUUUUAAAGAGGGAAUGACAAUUAAACCUCAUGGUUGAUUUGUGGAAGGGAACCGAUGAUGGGAUGAUUAUUCUUAGUGGUAAAAAAAACUAUUGUGGAGGUUAUUAUACUUGUUAUCAUCGGCUUAAAAUUCGAAUGGGUUCAAGUCGGAUUAUAUCGAGCUUGUAAGAUGAGUUCACGGAUCAAAUUUGCAUAAUAAAAAUACUUAAAUGAAAAAAAUUUCUAUUUUAGAGGGACCAGAGCCCCUACCAAUUCCCGGCUCAGCUACUAAACAAUACCCAUAUCAUAUAAAUAAAUACCACCAUAAAAAAAACUCAAAGAAAAACACUGACAAAUGAUAAAUAGAUAGAUGUUGGAUAAGUGUCCAAAAUAUGAUUUAAGUGAAGAUACAUGGGGUAGGUGUCACGGAAAUGUGAAUACAAGAAUACUACUAAUGGGAUGUGUACAGUUGAAUGUAGGGAGCAAAAAGAGGAGUGAAUCAUUUUGGUAACAUUGGGACAAGAAACAUAAUGAACAAAAUGGAAGGAGAGGAAGCUAGUAAAAGAAAUUUUUUGGGUCAUAUAAUUUGUUUGGCAUAUAUUUUUAUAAUUUUUAAAUAUCAUUUUGGACUUGAAUUAUAAUUUUUUUAUAUAUUAUCUUAAAAUUGUAUAAAUUUUAAGGAGUUAAAACAAAAUUAUUCUAUUUUUAGAUGGUUAAAGUAGAGAUGAUAAUGGGUUGAGCUAUUCGGCCCAGCCUGACGAUCCACCCGAAAAAUAGGAAGGUUUGGGUAAAAAUAUAGGCUUGAAAUAUGAAUUUGAGCAAAAAAAGAGGCCCGUUUAGAAAAUGGGCCGAGCCUCGGGUAAAACCUUUUGGGUCUAGACCUGACCUAAAUUAUAUAUUAAAUAUAUAUAUUUUUAUUUUUAAUCAAAUAUACUUUUGUUUUAUUAUUAAUUUGGUUAUUAUUUUAGUUCUAAUUUGUUUCAAUUUUAAUAUAACUACUUUUUAUUAUAUUUUCAAUUUGUGCAUUGUUUUAAGAAUUAUUUUAGUCUCAUUAUUUAUUUAUUUUUUAUUUUAAUAUUUGUUUUAAAAUUUUUUAUUUAUUGAAAUAAGCUAAAAAAAUUAAUAUGGGUUGGACCAGACCGGGCUCGGGCCUAGUAAUUUUCUUUUGGGCCGGACUUAAACAAAUUUUUAAGCCCAUAUUUUGAAUUGGGUCCUACACUAGAAAAUGGACCUAAAAUUUUGUAUUACCUUUAGGUCAGAGCUAUCCUCGUUUUGCAUUUCUUUGAGAUUCAGCCUUAUUUACUUUUGAUUGCCCACUCAAUAGAGGGUUGAGUAGAAAUAUUUGGUGAAGCAAGCUAAGCUAUCAAUCAAGGUGUGCAUAAUUAUUUAAAUGUAAUUCUAAUAUUAAAAUAAAAUUUUUAUUAAUAUAGUAUCAACAAGCAUUAAAUGUAAUCAUCAUAUACUAUUAAAUUUUCAAUAAGAGAAAACAAGCUUGAACUUUAAAAACGAUGUUACUAAAAACAUUAUCACAAAUCUUGAAAUAUAAAAAAUACUUUUUAAUAUAAUAAAAAAAUAAUUUUAAAACCGAGAUGAAUAAAAUUCUAAUUUUAAUUAAUGAUACCAACAACAAAUCAAUAUUUAAAUUAAAAUUUAUCUUAAUUUAAUAUAAUAAAAUUGGACUUGAAUAUUGAAUUUUUGAGUCUUGGGCAAAGUAGAGGUGCUCAUGGGCCGGGUUGGGUCGGGUUUGGGAAAAAUUUCGGCCCGCAUCCUAGGCUCGGGCUCGGCCCGACCCAAAUAUGGGCCUAAAAUUUUGUCUAGGCCUAGCCCGGCCCGGCCCAACUCAUUUUUUUUAAUAAACACCAAAAAUUUAUUUUGAAAAUAAAAAAAUAAAAAAAGUAUUUUAAAAAUAUUUUAAAAUUUUUAAAAAAUAUAUAUAUUUAUUAUAUAUUCGGGCCGGGCCAGGCCCGAGCCAAAAAAGUGGCGCCCAAGGCCCGGCCUGUUUUCUAAACGGGACUCAUUUUUUACCCAAACCCAUAUUUCGGGCCUAUAUUUCUACCCGAAUCUCUCAUAUUUAGGGCGAACCGUCGGGCCGGACCGGGCCGCCCGGCCAUGAACACCUCUAGGACAAAGUCACUCAAUGAAUGCAUGGAAAGAAAUAAUGCAACUUGGUGAUAGCUUUUGUUGGAGUUAUAUGCUUUUUUUUUACGUAGUGGAACUUUCGGUGGAUUUUCAAGUUUCAUGAACUUUAUACUCUAUGCUUUACGUGAAAAAAAAAAUUCAUUGGACUUAAAAGUCUACCAAAAGUUUCACUAAAAAAAAAACCAUUGCUACAAGAUUACAACAUAAAGUUACAAUAAGAGCUUAUAACUCAACAAAGGCUAUCAAUAAAUAAUCUCAAACAAAUUAAAGAGAAAUGUUGAGAGUACCACUCGAAUAGUGAUUAACUUUAAAAAUUGAAAACCCAAAGUUAUAAUAUCCCAAACGAAAUCAAACCAUAAACAUUAAAUUUUUCGAGUCUACUAGAUACUGCAAAAAAUUCAGCUCCAACAGACACCAAAUGAACCUAUGAUCGAAGAAAAUACGAAAACUAGUCUAGCUAAAUCAAGCUGCCAAACUUACUUUUUAUCUUAUCUUUAAUUUGCUGUGAAAUUCAAAACUAAGGUUUUGUACUUAGAACAACUUUCAAAAAGUUAAUUUUGAAAAAUGGAUUGAAUUUUCAAAAUAGAUGAUAUUUUAUUGUGUUAAAAUUUUAUUCGUUGUUUGAAAAAAAAUUUAAAUCAUUUUCUUAGAAUUAUUUUUAGUGAAACAAACAUAUCAUAAAUAUAUUUGUUAUAAAAUAUUUAUAUUAAUAUUUUCUUUUAACAAUUAAAAUAUAUUUUGUGAUAAGGUAUAUUUUAUAAUAAUUAAUAUCAUAUAUACUUAAUAAUAAAUCAUGUCUAAUUAAAAUUUAAUUUCAAUUAAAUAUAUUAAUAAAGCUACAUAUAAUCAUAUUUUAUAUAAUAAAAAUAUUAAUAUAAAUAUUUUUUUAAUAAUAUAUUAAAGAAUAUUUAAAAUUUAAAUUUAUUAUUACUAAGAUUAAUUAUUAAAAUAAAAAUGUAAUGUUAAAUAAUUUAUCCAAUGAUAAGUUAUAUUAAUAAUUUAUUAUAUUAUUAAAUAUAAAUAAUUAAAUAUGUAUGUUUAAUAAUAUUAUGUUAUAAUAUUUAUUAUUAAUAUUUUAAUAUUUUUAAACAACCAUGUUUUAAAGAUGGUGGUGAUGGUGAUGGUGCAGGCCCCCUUGUUACAAUUACAAUAUUUUUAAGUGGGAUGCAUGUAAUAUAUUGUUAGGGUUUUAGAGUGUGUGGUCUUUAAAAGGGUUAAAUUAUAUAUUUAUAUAAUAUGAUUAUUGUUUAUAAAUAUAAUAUUGUAGAUAAACUUUUAUGCAUGUCAAUAUGUAUCCUACUCUGGGGUUAAUAUGUAUUUUUAGAUAUGGAUUCACCUAUAUAAUAGUAUGAAUCCAUCAUGCGGUCUCAUGAAAUAUACAAACACAUAUCGUGCGAACACAAAGUACGAACAAUAAAAAGUACAAAUCAAGACCAAUUGAGUAAUUGAAUAGCAGAUAGGUAAUAAUGACUAUCCCCUCUUGUUUGAAUUUAUUUUAUUUCCAGUGAGUUAUCGUUUAUGAUAAAUUUACAACAAAUGUUUUUAUCAUUAUUUUGUUGGUAAAUGAUAAUAAGAUUAAACUUUACUUUCUUAAGCUCCUUCAAUUCUUUGGACGUUAGCAAGUAAACUUGAGCUUCAGCAUUCCACAAACACCUUAAUUUGAAGACACAGUUCUCCCAUACUAAAAACAACAUGGACGUUUACCUUGUAAUUAGAGAUUUGGGCUCAUUGUUAGGUUAUUAAUGAUACGGGGAUGGAGAGCUUUAAACUGGGUAUGGCUGGCCCCAAAGAGGCUCGAAACGUGCUUGAGACUAGAGGUCCAGGCAAAUUUUUAGGCCCAUUUUUUAGGCCUGGACUGGGCCCGACUCGAAAUAUGAGCUUAAAAAUUUGUCUAAGUUCGGUCCAAAAGAAAAUUGUUAAGCCUAAGCCCGGCCCAUAUUAAAUUUUACAACACCAAAAAACUAUAUAUUUAAUAUAUAUAUUUGAUUAAAAAGUAUAUUUAAUUAAAAAUAAAAAUAUAUAUUUAAUAUAUAAUUCGGGCCGGGCCGAACUCGGGCCAAAAAAGUUUUACUCGGGGCUGGUCCGUUUUCUAAACAGACCUCGUUUUUUUGUCAAAAUCCAUAUUUUAGGCUUAUAUUUUUACCCGAAACUUCCUAUUUUUCGGGUGAACCGUCAGGCCGGACUAGGUAGCCCAACCAAUGAUCACCUCUACUUGAGACAACAGGGUUUUGCAGGGAAUUCUUACAGGUUCGUUUCUGGCGACAUAAAAGAGCUCUUCACUAUAAGCAUACAAACAAGAGCCAAACCUAUGCCUCUUAGUGAUGAUAUUGGGCCUUAUGUUGUUCCUUUUCAACAUCAAACCGUCAAUCAGUAUGGUAUGUUUUUUAAUUUAAUCUGCAAUUUAUGAUAAUUCUUUGCUAUUUAUGUAUGGAAUUUAUUGGGAGGAAAUGCUGGGAAGAAUUCAUUUACGUGGAUUGGUCCAAGAUCAAGGGUGAACAUUACGGACCCGGAAAAAUAAGAGAAAUACUUAACAAAUUUAAUGACUUCCAGAAGGUACGUACCAAUCCACUGCUUAAUUUGCUUGUAAGCGGCCUUGUUAACCUCGAAGGAGACCGAUGGAGCAAGCAUAGAAAAAUCAUAACCCUUCAUUUCAUCAAGAUAAGUUGAAGGUAUAGAAUAGUGAUGGGUACUUAGACUUAAUUUACAGAAAACAUCAUACUUAAAUCUAUGCUUUUCUGAUUUAGAAAUGAUUGGAUGCAGAAUAUGUUGCCAGCAUUUUAUCAAAGUUGUUGUGACAUGUUAAGCAAAUGGGAGAAGAUGGUGUGUACAGAAGGAUACAGUGAGUUAGAUGUGUGGCCUUAUCUUGUAGAUUUGACAAGAGAUGUGAUUUCCCGAUCUGCUUUUGGAAGCAGCUUCGAAGAAGGCAGACGAAUUUUCCAAUUACUAGAGGACCAACUCGUUCUCACAAUCAAAUUAAUACAAACUGUUUACAUUCCAGGAUGGAGGUAACCCUCAACUUAAUUUACUUGAAAAAGGUUGCAAAUGUUGGAAUUGGCUAAAUUCGUGUUUGUUUUCUUGAAGGUUUUUGCCAACAAAGACAAACAGGGAGAUGAAGAUGAAACACAGACAUAAAAGAGUCGCUUAGGGAAAUGAUAAAGAGAAGGGAGAAGGCAAUUAAAGCAGGGGAAGAGAGCAAUGAGGACUUGUUGGACAUACUUGUGGAAUCCAAUAUCAGAGAAAUGGAAGCAAAGAAAAAGGGGAUGAGCAUUGAGGAUGUGAUUGAGGAAUGCAAGCUGUUUUACUUUGCUGGCCAGGAGACCACUUCGGUCUUGCUGGUGUGGACUAUGGUUUUAUUAGCAAGGUAUCCCGAUUGGCAAAGUAAAGCAAGAGAGGAGGUUUUGCAUGUUUUGGGUGACAGUAAACCUGAUGCUGAUGGCCUUAAUCGUCUCAAAGUUGUAAGUCCCUAGCAUGUCUCUUGAAGGUCCGAUCUCUGAGGUCGACAACUCAAAAACUUGGUUUCUUUGUUUCGCUAAUUCUACAGUUAACAAUGAUAUUGUACGAGGUUCUAAGGCUGUACCCACCAGUGAUUGAGCUAGGACGUUCCGUUCCAAAAGAAAUAAAACUGGGAAAUUUGUUGUUACCAGCAGGAACAGACGUUUCGGUUCCAAUCCUGCAGAUCCACCAUGACAAAGAUCUUUAGGGCGACGACGCACGGGAAUUUAAGCCACAGCGGUUCACGGAAGGGGUUUCCUAAGCAACAAAGAGUCAAGUCACGUUUCUGCCAUUCGGAUGGGGUCCUAGGAUCUGCAUUGGCCAAAACUUUGCCAUGAUGGGAACCAAAAUGGCGAUGGCUAUGAUUCUCCAACGCUUCUGGUUCGAGCUUUCCUCUUCCUAUGCUUACUCUCCUUACAACAUGGCAACUCUUCGUCCACAGCAUGGUGCACAGAUAAUUUUACAAAAACUUGGCUGUAAUUGAAUUGUUAUGUAAACAAAUCUUUGUGAAAAUAUAGUGUUUUAGUGUAUCGUCAAAGUCUGCCUGUAAUGGUACAAUUCCGAUGCAUGAAUAGUAAAUCUUGAGAUGUUUGGUGAAGUCCGAAAUAAUAUGCAGAAAUUGAGUGUCUUGAAUGGAUGUAGUAUUUAAUGGUGGACAUAGUUGAGGGACUAAUGUGGUAAUUAUCAAACAAAUAAUUGCAUAUGGUACAAAGACUUGUAUGGAAAUUAGAGCAGGGCGAGUUGAAAAUUACUACUUUGCUUCGGGCAUCAAUUUAGAAAGAUUUAAAGUACAAAUGUAUUAUUAGUUUAAGGGAUUUGUUUUAAAGAAGGAAUGACAAUUAAACCUCAUGGUUGAUGUGUGGAAGGGAACCAAUGAUGGGAUGAUUACUCUUAGUGGUAAAAAAAAAAACUAUUAAGGUGGUUAUUAUAGUUGUUAUCACCGGCCCAAAAUUCGAAUAGGUUCAGGUCGGAUUAUAUUGAGCUUGUAGAUGAGUUUGCAUGAUAAUAGGUGUUCACAGAAAGAUAUCUAUAGUUUCCUACAAAGUCACAUGUGAGAUCGUGCAUUGGGACCGCAUAAAAAUGUUUUAUGUUUAGAAUAUGAUACGUGUCUAUGUGUAUGGAAUCUACCUAAUAUAUCAUAUUAAUUAAUAGUAUCAAUUGCGGAGCCAAAAAAUUAUUUCUGAGGGGUCAGAAUUAAAUUGUAUAUUUUUACAAAAAUAAAAAUUAAAUUUCACUAUUUUAAUAGUUUAUUUCUUUUUAAUUUUUAAAUGAUUAAAUUAAAUUUUUAUAAAUUUUUGGGAUCAAAGUACAAUUUUAUCAUUUCUAAUUUAAAAUUUUAUAAAAUAUAAAAAGUUUAUAUGAAAAGUUUUCUAUUUUAGAGUGGCCAAAGCCCCUGCCAACUUCCGACUCGAUCACUAAACAAUAUAAAUAAAUAAAUACCACCAUCUAAAAGACUCAAGAAAAACACUCAACGAUAAAUAGAUAGAUGUUGGGUAAAGAUACGUUUGGAUGGGCGGUGCGUUUACUUGCGGUUAGUAUAAAAAUAGCGGUGGCGGUUAGAUUAGAUACUAUAGCAACACUGUAGCGUAAGACAAAAAAUAAGCUAAACGUACUGCACUGCACUUAAUCGCCCAUCCAAACUCACCCUAAGUGUACAAAAUAUGAUUUAAGUGAAGAUACGUAGGGUAGGUGUCAUGGAAAUGUAAAAGACAAGAAUCCCACUAAUGUAUGGGAUGUGUACAGCUGAAUGUAGGGAGCAAAGAGGAGUGAAUCAUUUUGGUAACAUUUGGACAAGAAACAUAAUGAACAAAAUGAAAGGAGAGGAAGCUAGUAAAAGAUUUUUUUGAGUUAUAUAAUUUGUUUGGCAUAUAUUUUUAUAAUUUUUAAAUAUCAUUUUGGAGUUGAAUUAUAAUUUCUUUUUAUGUUUUAAAACAUAAUUAUUCUAUCUUCAAAGGGUUAGAGUAGAGGUGAGCAUGGGUCGGGCUACUCGGCCCGAAAUGUGAGAGAUUUGGGCAAAAAUAUAGGCUCAAAAAAUGGACUUGGACAAAAAAAUAUAAGACCCGUUGAAAAAUGGGCCGGGCAUUGGGUAAGGCAUUUUUGGCCCUGGGCCCGGCCCAAUCCUAAUUCACUAAAGGACAAAAAAAAUUUGAUUUUUAAAUAUUAUUUUCUUCCUAUUUUGCUACCAUUUUACUAUUAUGUUGCUACUAUUUUGUUGUUAUUUUUUGGAUAUUGUAUAAAACUUAUUUUAUUGUUAAUUUUGUUAUUAUUUUAAAGACAUUUGUUAAUUUUGUUAUUAUUUUAGAGACAUUUGCUUGUUAAGUUGUAUCUAUCUUAGUGUUAUUUAAGUGUACAUAUUUUUUAAAAUUUAUUUUCAAUUUAUUGGGAAAUAUUUAUUUUGAUGUUUUUAGUAUUUUGGAUGUAUUAUAUAUAUUAAAAUUAUAUAAAAAUUAAUAUGGCCGAGCCGAGUCAGGCCCAGAUUUUAGCAUUUUUAUUCAGGUCGGGCUUGAGCAAAAUUUUAAGCCCAUUUUUUGGGCCAAACCAGGCCUGGGCUUAGCAAAUGGGCCUAAAUUUUUAGUCAAGCCCGACCUAAACCCGAUCCGGCCCAUGCUCACCUCUAGAUCAGAGCUGCCCUCGCUUUGCAUUUCUUUGAGAUUCAGUCUUAUCUACUGUUGAUUGCCCACUCAAUGGAGGGUUGAGUAGAAAGAUUUGGUGAAGCAAGCUAAGCUAUCAAUCAAGGUUGGAGAAAGCUUAGGAGGUCACAAUGCAUAAUUAUUUAAAUGUAAUUCUAAUAUUUAAAUAAAAUUUAUUAAUAUAGUAUUAACAAGCCCUAAAUGUAAUGAGUAUAUACUAUUACAUUUUUAAGAAGAGAAAACAUGUUUGAACCUUAAAAACAUCAUUAUUAAAAAUGAUAAUUACAAAUUUUAAAAUAUAAAAAAUAUAAUUAAAAAUUAAUUUUAAACCCGAGCUGGAUAAAAUUCUAAUUUUAGAUAACGAUACUAAUAAGAAAUCAAUAUUAAAAUGAAAAUGAAAAGUAAUUUAAUAUAAUUUUUGAGUCUUGGGCAAAGGCACUCAAUGAAUGCUUGGAAAGAAAUAAUGCAACUUGGUGAUAGCUUUUGUUGGAGUAGUAUGCUCUUAUUAUAGUUUUAUGUUUUUAUCUUGCAAAAACAACAUAUUGGAGUUUUCGGCAUGAUUUUUUCUUAAUACUUUACAUGAAAAAUAAUAAUGGGACUUAAAAAUCUAUCAAAAGCUUCACCAUAAUAAUAAUAAUAAUAAUAAUAAUAAUAAAUUGCUACAAUAUUACAACACAAAGUUACAAUAAGAGCUUAUAACUCAACAAAGGUUAUCAAUAAAUAAUCUCAGGCAAGCUAAAGAGAAAUGUUGAGAAUACCACCCGAAUAGUGACUGACUUUAAAAGUUGAAAACCCGAAGCUAUAGUAUCUCAAACGAAAUCAAACCAUUAACAUUAAAAUUUUCAAGUCUACUAGCUACUGUAAAAAAUGCAGCUCCAACAUACACCAAAUGAGUCUUUGAUCGAAGAAAGUACAAAAACUAGUCUGGGUAAACCAAGCUGCCAAACUUACUUAUCUUAUCUUUAAUUUUGCAGUGAAAUUAAAAAUUAAGUUUUUGUUUAUUUCACUUGGAACAACUUUCAAAAAAUUAUUUUUGAAAAAUGGAUUGGUUUUUCGAAAUAGAUGAUAUUUUAUUGUGUUAAAAUUUUAUUCGUUGUUGGAAAACUUUUUUUAAAUCAUUUUCUUAAAGUUAUUUUUAGUGAAACAAACAUAACAUAAAUAUAUUUGUUACAAAAAAAUUAUAUUAGUAUUUUCUUUUGACAAUUAAAAUUUAUUUUAUGAUAAGACAAUAUUUUGUAAUAAUUAAUAUCAUAUAUAUAUACGUAAUAAAAAAAUCUUGUUUAAUUAAAAUUUAAUUAAAAUUAAAUAUAUUAAUAAAGCUACAUAUAAUCAUAUUUUUUAUAAUUAAAAUAUUAAUAUAAAUAUUUUUCAAUAAUAUAUUAAAAUAUUAAAAUUUAAAUUAUUAUUACUUAAAUUAAUUAUUAAAAUAAAAAAUUUAAUAUUAAAUAAUUUAUUCAAUGAUAAGUUUUAUUAAUAAUUUAUUGUAUUAUUAAAUAUAAUUAAUUAAAUAUGCAUAUUUAAUAAUAUUACGUUAUAAUAUUUUAAUAUUCUUAAACAGCCAUGUUUUUAAGAUGCUGGUGAUGGUGAUGCUGCGGGCCUCUCUUGUUACAAUUACUAUAAUUUUUUGUGCAAUAAUUGAAGUUGUUGGGUGGUCAAGCAAACCUCUUUUGACUGAGAUGCAUAUAAUAUACCCGCAUGUCCCCGCCUCCUAAAAUUUAAAUUUGUUAUUUGAAUCUUUAAAUUUUUUAAUAUAAUAUACCCGCAUGUCCCCGCCUCCUAAAAUUUAAAUUUGUUAUUUGAAUCUUUAAAUUUUUUAAAAAUUUUAAAUUCAUAAAAGUAAAAUUAUACUUUGACCCUCUAAAAUUAUAAAAAUUUAAUUAAUCUUUUAAAUUCAUUGGGCCCCUAAUAUAUUGUUCAGGCUUCACCCUUGAUACUGAUGUUGACUAUUUUAGAGUAUGUGUCUUCUUUAACAGGGUUAAAUUAUAUAUUUAUAUAAUAUAGUUAUUGUUUAUGGACGUGACAUCGUAACUAGGUUCUUAUGCAUGUCAACAUAUAUCCUAUUUUAAGGUUAACACGUAUUUUUAAAUGUGAAUUCACCUAUAUAAUGGUAUGAACCAUCAUGCAGUCUCAUAAAAUAUGCGAAUAUAUGUCGUGCGAACACAAAGUACAAUCCACACAGAAUACGAAUUAAGACCCAAUUGAAUAAUCGGAUACGAAUCAGUAAUAAUGAAUUUCAUAACAGCCACCAACCCCUCUUUUGUUUUAAUUUAUUUUAUUUCCAGUAAGUUAUUGUUUGUGAGAAUUCACAACAAAUGCUUUUGUCAUUAUUUUGUUGGUAAAUAAUAAUAAGAUUAAACUUUACUUUCUUAAGCUCCUUCAAUUCUUUGGAAGUUGGUGGUUUUUUAUUCUAAUCUUAUUUUUUUUAUUAAUUUCUUUUUUUAUAAUAAAUGUGUUUAUAGAUCAGGUUGGAUUAUAAUUGAAUCAUUGUCUGGUAUUAACAUAAUUUAAAUCGAUUAAAAUUUAUUCGACUGGAAAUAUAAAUUUAAAAUUUUACUUCAAUUUAUCUUAAUUUAUAAAUUGUGAAUUUAAAUUUAUUUAUUUUCUCUCAUUAUAUUCAGUUUUUCGGAUCAUAUUUGGCCCAGAACAAAAACUAGAACAAAAAAACAAAUAUAUAUGUUUUCCAAAAAUUAAAUUGUUAACUUUAAAAAAAUAUAUUUUUAGCUAUUUAUCAUCAUAGAGAAAAACAAAUAAGGUCACCUCGCCUUAUGCUUCAACACCUCAACCUAGAUUCUCAUCACCUGUAUUUAUCAUCGAUUCAGAUUUUUAUUUUUACUAUAUUCUAGAUCUACCUAUAAAUAUAUCUUCAAACUUCCUCUGGUUAAGUUCAUUCAUAGAUAGGUGAGUAAACUUGAGCUUCAGCUUCAACAAACACCUUAGUUUGCAAUUCUCUCAUACUAAAAAUAUGGAAGUUUACCAUGUAAUUAGAGAUUUGGUCUCAUUGCUUGUUGUUGGUUUAUUAAUGAUAUGGGGAUGGAGAGCUUUAAACUGGGUAUGGUUGGCCCCAAAGAGGCUCGAAAGGUGCUUGAGACAACAGGGUUUUGCAGGGAAUCCUUACAGGUUCCUUUCUGGUGACAUAAAAGAGCUCUUAACUAUGAGCAGACAAACAAGAGCCAAACCUAUGCCUCUUAGUGAUGAUAUUGGGCCUUAUGUUGCUCCUUUUCUUCAUCAAACUGUCAACCAGUAUGGUAUGUUUAAUUAUUAUUUAAUCUUCAAUUUAUGAUAAUUCUUUGUUAUUUAUGAAUGGAAUUUAUUGGGAGGAAAUGCAGGAAAGAAUUCAUUUACGUGGAUUGGUCCAAGACAAAGGGUGAACAUUAUGGACCCUGAAAAAAUAAGAGAAAUAUUUACCAAAUUUAAUGACUUCCAGAAGGUGCGUACCAAUCCACUGCUUACUUUGCUUGUAAGCGGCCUUGUUAACCUCGAAGGAGACCGAUGGAGCAAACAUAGAAAAAUCAUAAACCCUUCAUUUCAUCAAGAUAAGUUGAAGGUAUAGAAUAGUGAUGGGUACUUAAGACUUAAUUUACAGAAAACAUGAUACUUAAAUCUAUGCUUUUCUGAUUUAGAAAUGAUUGGAUGCAGAAUAUGUUGCCAGCAUUUUAUCAAAGUUGUUGUGACAUGUUAAGCAAAUGGGAGAAGAUGGUGUGUACAGAAGGAUACAGUGAGUUAGAUGUGUGGCCUUAUCUUGUAGAUUUGACAAGAGAUGUGAUUUCCCGAUCUGCUUUUGGAAGCAGCUUCGAAGAAGGCAGACGAAUUUUCCAAUUACUAGAUGACCAACUCGUUCUCAGAAUCAAAUUACUACAAACUGUUUACAUUCCAGGAUGGAGGUAACCCUCAAUUUACUUGAAAAAGGUUGCAAAUGUUGGAAUUGGCUAAAUUCGUGUUUGUUUCCUUGAAGGUUUUUGCCCACAAAGACAAACAGGGAGGUGAAGAUGAAACACAAAGACAUAAAAGAGUCGCUCAGGGAAAUGAUAAAAAGAAGAGAGCAGGCAAUUAAAGCAGGGGAAGAGAGCAAUGAGGACUUGUUGGACAUACUUGUGGAAUCCAAUAUCAGAGAAAUGGAAGCAAAGAAAAAGGGGAUGAGCAUUGAGGAUGUGAUUGAGGAAUGCAAGCUGUUUUACUUUGCUGGCCAGGAGACCACUUCGGUCUUACUGGUGUGGACUAUGGUUUUAUUAGCAAGGUAUCCCGAUUGGCAAAGUAAAGCAAGAGAGGAGGUUUUGCAUGUUUUGGGUGACAGUAAACCUGAUGCUGAUGGCCUUAAUCGCCUCAAAGUUGUAAGUCCCUAGCAUGUCUUUUGAAGGUCCGAUCAAUAAGGUCGACAACUCAAAAAUUUGGUUUCUUUUUUCGCUAAUUCUACAGUUAACAAUGAUAUUGUACGAGGUUCUAAGGCUGUACCCAUCAGCGACUGAGCUAGGACGUUCCGUUCCAAAAGAAAUAAAACUGGGAAAUUUGUUGUUACCAGCAGGAACAGAAAUUUCGGUUCCGAUCCUGCUGAUCCACCAUGACAAAGAUCUUUGGGGCGAUGACGCACGGGAAUUUAAGCCAGAGCGGUUCGCGGAAGGGGUUUCCAAAGCAACAAAGAGUCAAGUCACGUUUCUGCCAUUCGGAUGGGGUCCUAGGAUCUGCAUUGCCCAGAAUUUUGCUAU